This 684-nucleotide ribosomal RNA is filed under the name uncultured bacterium. RNAcentral's name for it is "bacterial SSU rRNA". It matches the Rfam family "Bacterial small subunit ribosomal RNA", at positions 9 to 701 of the family's 1533-position model. The record is from RNAcentral.
GAGUUUGAUCCUGGCUCAGGAUGAACGCUGGCGGCGUGCUUAACACAUGCAAGUCGAACGGACUCAUAUUGAAACCUAGUGAUUUAUGAGUUAGUGGCGGACGGGUGAGUAACGCGUGGAUAACCUGCCGUAUACCGGGGGAUAACACUUAGAAAUAGGUGCUAAUACCGCAUAAGCGCACGGCUCCGCAUGGGGCAGUGUGAAAAACUCCGGUGGUAUGGGAUGGAUCCGCGUCUGAUUAGCUGGUUGGUGAGGUAACGGCCCACCGAGGCGACGAUCAGUAGCCGACCUGAGAGGGUGGCCGGCCACAUUGGGACUGAGACACGGCCCAAACUCCUACGGGAGGCAGCAGUGGGGAAUAUUGCACAAUGGGGGAAACCCUGAUGCAGCGACGCCGCGUGAGUGAAGAAGUAUUUCGGUAUGUAAAGCUCUAUCGGCAGGGAAGAAAAAAAUGACAGUACCUGACUAAGAAGCCCCGGCUAACUACGUGCCAGCAGCCGCGGUAAUACGUAGGGGGCAAGCGUUAUCCGGAUUUACUGGGUGUAAAGGGAGCGUAGGCGGCCACGCAAGUCAGAAGUGAAAACCCGGGGCUCAACCCUGGGAGUGCUUUUGAAACUGUGCGGCUAGAGUGUCGGAGGGGUAAGUGGAAUUCCUAGUGUAGCGGUGAAAUGCGUAGAUAUUAGG